Molecule: ribosomal RNA, 441 nt
Filed under: uncultured Rhodoplanes sp.
Lineage: Bacteria; Pseudomonadati; Pseudomonadota; Alphaproteobacteria; Hyphomicrobiales; Nitrobacteraceae
Description: bacterial SSU rRNA
Rfam family: Bacterial small subunit ribosomal RNA
Source: RNAcentral
CCUACGGGAGGCAGCAGUGGGGAAUAUUGGACAAUGGGCGCAAGCCUGAUCCAGCCAUGCCGCGUGGAUGAUGAAGGCCUUAGGGUUGUAAAGUCCUUUUAACGGGGAAGAUAAUGACGGUACCCGUAGAAUAAGCCCCGGCUAACUUCGUGCCAGCAGCCGCGGUAAUACGAAGGGGGCUAGCGUUGCUCGGAAUCACUGGGCGUAAAGCGCACGUAGGCGGCUUUCUAAGUCAGGGGUGAAAUCCUGGGGCUCAACUCCAGAACUGCCUUUGAUACUGGAGAGCUUGAGUUCGGGAGAGGUGAGUGGAACUGCGAGUGUAGGGGUGAAAUUCGUAGAUAUUCGCAAGAACACCAGUGGCGAAGGCGGCUCACUGGCCCGAUACUGACGCUGAGGUGCGAAAGCGUGGGGAGCAAACAGGAUUAGAUACCCGAGUAGUCC